RNAcentral lists this ribosomal RNA (467 nucleotides) under uncultured bacterium. Its description in RNAcentral is "partial 16S ribosomal RNA". It matches the Rfam family "Bacterial small subunit ribosomal RNA", at positions 29 to 507 of the family's 1533-position model. The record is from RNAcentral.
ACGAACGCUGGCGGCGUGCUUAACCCAUGCAAGUCGAACGGAAAGGCCCUGCUUUUGUGGGGUGCUCGAGUGGCGAACGGGUGAGUAACACGUGAGUAACCUGCCCUUGACUUUGGGAUAACUUCAGGAAACUGGGGCUAAUACCGGAUAGGAGCUCCUGCUGCAUGGUGGGGGUUGGAAAGUUUCGGCGGUUGGGGAUGGACUCGCGGCUUAUCAGCUUGUUGGUGGGGUAGUGGCUUACCAAGGCUUUGACGGGUAGCCGGCCUGAGAGGGUGACCGGCCACAUUGGGACUGAGAUACGGCCCAGACUCCUACGGGAGGCAGCAGUGGGGGAUAUUGCACAAUGGGCGGAAGCCUGAUGCAGCAACGCCGCGUGCGGGAUGACGGCCUUCGGGUUGUAAACCGCUUUCGCCUGUGACGAAGCGUGAGUGACGGUAAUGGGUAAAGAAGCACCGGCUAACUACGUG